RNAcentral lists this ribosomal RNA (253 nucleotides) under uncultured bacterium. Its description in RNAcentral is "partial 16S ribosomal RNA". It matches the Rfam family "Bacterial small subunit ribosomal RNA", at positions 524 to 776 of the family's 1533-position model. The record is from RNAcentral.
UACGAAGGGGGCUAGCGUUGUUCGGAAUUACUGGGCGUAAAGCGUGCGCAGGCGGUUCGUUGUGUCGGCGGUGAAAGCCCCGGGCUUAACCUGGGAAUGGCCGUUGAAACUGGCGAACUGGAGUGUGGCAGAGGGGGGUGGAAUUCCGCGUGUAGCAGUGAAAUGCGUAGAGAUGCGGAGGAACACCGAUGGCGAAGGCGGUCUGCUGGGCAGUUGCUGACACUGAGGCGCGACAGCGUGGGGAGCAAACAGG